Molecule: long non-coding RNA, 472 nt
Filed under: Salvia miltiorrhiza (redroot sage)
Lineage: Eukaryota; Viridiplantae; Streptophyta; Magnoliopsida; Lamiales; Lamiaceae
Description: long non-coding RNA (SMIL_LNC012909)
Source: RNAcentral
UUGUGUGAACCGGCGGCGGCGGUCUUCUGGCCGUGCUGUCGCCGGGGAUUGAAGAGAGACAAGGAGGUCGAGGUUAGGGCACGGCGGCGGUGAGGAGUCGUCGUUGUUGCAGGAAUUCGAAGAGGGAGAAGUCUGAAAUUGGGGGUUAAGGAUUCGGGAGGAGAGGGUCGAUUAGGGGUCUGGGGUUUUAGGGUUUGGAGUGGAAGUGCGGUGGCUGGCCCUUCUGGCCGAUGGAAUCGCCGGAGUCGAAGGGGUAGCCUCUGGAUUGGAGGCUAGAGUGUACAGGCGGCAGCGCCGCUUGACCCACGAGCUGCGGCUGGCUCGCUAGGUUGUCGCCGGAGAAGAGGGGGGGAGAGCGAGAAGAGAGCAGCGGCCGCGGCCUGCUGCGGUCGCCGAGGAAGUGAACCGAGAGGGAGAGAGAGAUCAGUACCUGUGAGUGUGUGUAUGCGUGAGUAAUGUUGAAGAAGAAGGG